RNAcentral lists this ribosomal RNA (2904 nucleotides) under Escherichia coli. RNAcentral describes it as "23S ribosomal RNA". It matches the Rfam family "Bacterial large subunit ribosomal RNA". The record is from RNAcentral. Lineage: Bacteria; Pseudomonadati; Pseudomonadota; Gammaproteobacteria; Enterobacterales; Enterobacteriaceae.
GGUUAAGCGACUAAGCGUACACGGUGGAUGCCCUGGCAGUCAGAGGCGAUGAAGGACGUGCUAAUCUGCGAUAAGCGUCGGUAAGGUGAUAUGAACCGUUAUAACCGGCGAUUUCCGAAUGGGGAAACCCAGUGUGAUUCGUCACACUAUCAUUAACUGAAUCCAUAGGUUAAUGAGGCGAACCGGGGGAACUGAAACAUCUAAGUACCCCGAGGAAAAGAAAUCAACCGAGAUUCCCCCAGUAGCGGCGAGCGAACGGGGAGCAGCCCAGAGCCUGAAUCAGUGUGUGUGUUAGUGGAAGCGUCUGGAAAGGCGUGCGAUACAGGGUGACAGCCCCGUACACAAAAAUGCACAUGCUGUGAGCUCGAUGAGUAGGGCGGGACACGUGGUAUCCUGUCUGAAUAUGGGGGGACCAUCCUCCAAGGCUAAAUACUCCUGACUGACCGAUAGUGAACCAGUACCGUGAGGGAAAGGCGAAAAGAACCCCGGCGAGGGGAGUGAAAAAGAACCUGAAACCGUGUACGUACAAGCAGUGGGAGCACGCUUAGGCGUGUGACUGCGUACCUUUUGUAUAAUGGGUCAGCGACUUAUAUUCUGUAGCAAGGUUAACCGAAUAGGGGAGCCGAAGGGAAACCGAGUCUUAACUGGGCGUUAAGUUGCAGGGUAUAGACCCGAAACCCGGUGAUCUAGCCAUGGGCAGGUUGAAGGUUGGGUAACACUAACUGGAGGACCGAACCGACUAAUGUUGAAAAAUUAGCGGAUGACUUGUGGCUGGGGGUGAAAGGCCAAUCAAACCGGGAGAUAGCUGGUUCUCCCCGAAAGCUAUUUAGGUAGCGCCUCGUGAAUUCAUCUCCGGGGGUAGAGCACUGUUUCGGCAAGGGGGUCAUCCCGACUUACCAACCCGAUGCAAACUGCGAAUACCGGAGAAUGUUAUCACGGGAGACACACGGCGGGUGCUAACGUCCGUCGUGAAGAGGGAAACAACCCAGACCGCCAGCUAAGGUCCCAAAGUCAUGGUUAAGUGGGAAACGAUGUGGGAAGGCCCAGACAGCCAGGAUGUUGGCUUAGAAGCAGCCAUCAUUUNNNNNNNNNNNNNNNNNNNNNNNNNNNNNNNNNNNNNNNNNNNNNNNNNNNNNNNNNNNNNNNNNNNNNNNNNNNNNNNNNNNNNNNNNNNNNNNNNNNNNNNNNNNNNNNNNNNNNNNNNNNNNNNNNNNNNNNNNNNNNNNNNCAUGCUGGAGGUAUCAGAAGUGCGAAUGCUGACAUAAGUAACGAUAAAGCGGGUGAAAAGCCCGCUCGCCGGAAGACCAAGGGUUCCUGUCCAACGUUAAUCGGGGCAGGGUGAGUCGACCCCUAAGGCGAGGCCGAAAGGCGUAGUCGAUGGGAAACAGGUUAAUAUUCCUGUACUUGGUGUUACUGCGAAGGGGGGACGGAGAAGGCUAUGUUGGCCGGGCGACGGUUGUCCCGGUUUAAGCGUGUAGGCUGGUUUUCCAGGCAAAUCCGGAAAAUCAAGGCUGAGGCGUGAUGACGAGGCACUACGGUGCUGAAGCAACAAAUGCCCUGCUUCCAGGAAAAGCCUCUAAGCAUCAGGUAACAUCAAAUCGUACCCCAAACCGACACAGGUGGUCAGGUAGAGAAUACCAAGGCGCUUGAGAGAACUCGGGUGAAGGAACUAGGCAAAAUGGUGCCGUAACUUCGGGAGAAGGCACGCUGAUAUGUAGGUGAAGUCCCUCGCGGAUGGAGCUGAAAUCAGUCGAAGAUACCAGCUGGCUGCAACUGUUUAUUAAAAACACAGCACUGUGCAAACACGAAAGUGGACGUAUACGGUGUGACGCCUGCCCGGUGCCGGAAGGUUAAUUGAUGGGGUCAGCGCAAGCGAAGCUCUUGAUCGAAGCCCCGGUAAACGGCGGCCGUAACUAUAACGGUCCUAAGGUAGCGAAAUUCCUUGUCGGGUAAGUUCCGACCUGCACGAAUGGCGUAAUGAUGGCCAGGCUGUCUCCACCCGAGACUCAGUGAAAUUGAACUCGCUGUGAAGAUGCAGUGUACCCGCGGCAAGACGGAAAGACCCCGUGAACCUUUACUAUAGCUUGACACUGAACAUUGAGCCUUGAUGUGUAGGAUAGGUGGGAGGCUUUGAAGUGUGGACGCCAGUCUGCAUGGAGCCGACCUUGAAAUACCACCCUUUAAUGUUUGAUGUUCUAACGUUGACCCGUAAUCCGGGUUGCGGACAGUGUCUGGUGGGUAGUUUGACUGGGGCGGUCUCCUCCUAAAGAGUAACGGAGGAGCACGAAGGUUGGCUAAUCCUGGUCGGACAUCAGGAGGUUAGUGCAAUGGCAUAAGCCAGCUUGACUGCGAGCGUGACGGCGCGAGCAGGUGCGAAAGCAGGUCAUAGUGAUCCGGUGGUUCUGAAUGGAAGGGCCAUCGCUCAACGGAUAAAAGGUACUCCGGGGAUAACAGGCUGAUACCGCCCAAGAGUUCAUAUCGACGGCGGUGUUUGGCACCUCGAUGUCGGCUCAUCACAUCCUGGGGCUGAAGUAGGUCCCAAGGGUAUGGCUGUUCGCCAUUUAAAGUGGUACGCGAGCUGGGUUUAGAACGUCGUGAGACAGUUCGGUCCCUAUCUGCCGUGGGCGCUGGAGAACUGAGGGGGGCUGCUCCUAGUACGAGAGGACCGGAGUGGACGCAUCACUGGUGUUCGGGUUGUCAUGCCAAUGGCACUGCCCGGUAGCUAAAUGCGGAAGAGAUAAGUGCUGAAAGCAUCUAAGCACGAAACUUGCCCCGAGAUGAGUUCUCCCUGACUCCUUGAGAGUCCUGAAGGAACGUUGAAGACGACGACGUUGAUAGGCCGGGUGUGUAAGCGCAGCGAUGCGUUGAGCUAACCGGUACUAAUGAACCGUGAGGCUUAACCUU